UGGUUAGCGGCGGACGGGUGAGUAACACGUGGGCAACCUGCCCUGUAGACGGGGAUAACACCGAGAAAUCGGUGCUAAUACCGGAUAAUACGGAAUGUCGCAUGACGUUUCGUUGAAAGGCGGCGCAAGCUGUCGCUACAGGAUGGGCCCGCGGCGCAUUAGCUAGUUGGUGAGGUAACGGCUCACCAAGGCGACGAUGCGUAGCCGACCUGAGAGGGUGAUCGGCCACACUGGGACUGAGACACGGCCCAGACUCCUACGGGAGGCAGCAGUAGGGAAUCUUCCGCAAUGGACGAAAGUCUGACGGAGCAACGCCGCGUGAGUGAGGAAGGUCUUCGGAUCGUAAAACUCUGUUGUCAGGGAAGAACCGCCGGGAUGACCUCCCGGUCUGACGGUACCUGACGAGAAAGCCCCGGCUAACUACGUGCCAGCAGCCGCGGUAAUACGUAGGGGGCAAGCGUUGUCCGGAAUUAUUGGGCGUAAAGCGCGCGCAGGCGGCUUCUUAAGUCAGGUGUGAAGGCCCACGGCUCAACCGUGGAGGGCCAUCUGAAACUGGGGAGCUUGAGUGCAGGAGAGGAGAGCGGAAUUCCACGUGUAGCGGUGAAAUGCGUAGAGAUGUGGAGGAACACCAGUGGCGAAGGCGGCUCUCUGGCCUGUAACUGACGCUGAGGCGCGAAAGCGUGGGGAGCAAACAGGAUUAGAUACCCUGGUAGUCCACGCCGUAAACGAUGAGUGCUAGUGUUGGGGAGUCCACCUCCUCAG
RNAcentral lists this ribosomal RNA (762 nucleotides) under uncultured Aneurinibacillus sp. Its description in RNAcentral is "bacterial SSU rRNA". It matches the Rfam family "Bacterial small subunit ribosomal RNA", at positions 89 to 843 of the family's 1533-position model. The record is from RNAcentral. Lineage: Bacteria; Bacillati; Bacillota; Bacilli; Caryophanales; Paenibacillaceae.